RNAcentral lists this ribosomal RNA (62 nucleotides) under Alternaria sp. HN17-1B. RNAcentral's name for it is "partial 18S ribosomal RNA". The record is from RNAcentral. Lineage: Eukaryota; Fungi; Ascomycota; Dothideomycetes; Pleosporales; Pleosporaceae.
UCCUCUUGGCUCAUUAGAGGAAGUAAAAGUCGUAACAAGGUCUCCGUAGGUGAACCUGCGGA